UGCUGCGCGGCGGCCGGGCUGCUCCCGGGGCUCCCGACGCCCGGUACCCAGCGGGGGGCAGGGGGGCAGCUCCGGCUGACUGGGGGUGGCCUUCGCGCUCCGGGACCAUGCUGCGCCGCGUGUGGGGCUUCCUGUUGCCCACAGUGGCUGGCCAGGAAGACAAAUCCGACCGCCUUUUCGAAGAGCUCUUCCGGAAGCUGGACCACCACGGGAACGGCAUGGUGGACAUCACAGAGCUGCAGAAAGAACUGGAAGCUAUGGGCAUCCCUGUGGGCCAGGAAGAAGAGAUACUAUUAAAAUCUGUUGAUAUUAAUGCCUGCAAUCUGCUGAACCUCAGCACAUUUAUGCAGUACCUUAAAGAUAAUGAGAAGACGAUGAGGUGGACUUUUAAGAGUUUGGACAUGAAUAAUGAUGGUUUGUCUUUAUACAGAGUGAUUGAUGCUUCAGAAAUUAUUGAUGUUCUUGACCUAAUAGGUAUACAUAUUUCUGAAGAAGAGGCAGUGAAGAUUCUUGAAAGGAUGGAUAUUGAUGGGUCAAUGACAGUGGACUGGGAUGAAUGGAGGAAGUAUUUUUUAUUUAAACCUGCAAGAAAUGUUAGGGAAAUUGCCCGUCACUGGAACUAUAUUACUGGAAUUGAUAUGGGAGAAAGAUGGACUUUUCAUGAAUUAACUGAUGAAGAAAGAAGCUCCGGCCUGUUAGGGAGGUAUCUGUUGGCUGGAGGCAUAGCUGGUACUUGCGCUAGAACAUGCACAGCACCGUUGGAGCGUCUAAAAACCCUAAUGCAAGCUCAGAGUUUAGAAGCAAAGAAUGUGAAGAUAAUAAACCAUUUCAUAGAGAUGGUCAAAGAGGGUGGAGUCAUUUCUCUGUGGAGAGGAAAUGGUAUGCAUAUUCUCAAGAUUGCUCCUGAAACAGCUGUUAAGGUCUGGUCAUAUGAACAGUAUAAGAAGUUUCUUUCUUCUGAAGGAACCAAAUUAGAAACUUUUGAGCAAUUUGCUUCUGCUUCUUUGGCUGGUGCUACUGCACAAUCUUUUAUUUACCCCUUGGAGGUUUUAAAAACUAAUUUGGCAGUGAGUAGAACUGGGCAGUACUCUGGGAUUUUGGAUUGUGCCAGGAAGAUUUGGAAACUUGAAAGGGUUACAGGCUUUUACAAAGGCUAUGUCCCUAGUCUUCUGGCUAUCAUACCAUAUGUAGGCAUAGAUUUUACUAUUUAUGAGCUUUUGAAGACUCAUUUACUAAACACUGAUACAGAAGGCCCUGGGUUGCUGACUUUGAUUGGAUAUAAUGCCUUCUCUAACUUUUGUGGUCAGUUUAUCAGCUACCCCCUGCACCUAGUGAGAACUCGCAUGCAAGUUCAAGUUUCUUAGGUUCAAAGUUUAGAUCUGGGGUUGCCAAACUAUGCCUCGCAGGCCAAAUCUUACCCACCACCCACAUGUGCAUAAUGGGAGGCCCACAGCUAAAUAUGAUCAGCGUCUUUCGUCAAAUUUAUAAAAGCAGUGGAGUGAUGAGGUUUUUCAGAGGCAUGACUCCAAAUUUCUUAAAGUUGCUUCCUU
RNA transcript from Canis lupus familiaris (dog), 1550 nucleotides. It is a transcript of the gene named calcium-binding mitochondrial carrier protein SCaMC-1-like, with no coding region annotated. NCBI's taxonomy places the organism in Eukaryota, Metazoa, Chordata, Mammalia, Carnivora, Canidae. The transcript is spliced from 11 exons. The record is from RefSeq and is a predicted model, not a curated record.